RNAcentral lists this unclassified non-coding RNA (606 nucleotides) under Meyerozyma guilliermondii. RNAcentral's name for it is "sequence contains 18S rRNA gene, ITS1, 5.8S rRNA gene, ITS2, 28S rRNA gene". The stretch from base 211 to 364 matches the Rfam family "5.8S ribosomal RNA". The record is from RNAcentral. Lineage: Eukaryota; Fungi; Ascomycota; Pichiomycetes; Serinales; Debaryomycetaceae.
GUAACAAGGUUUCCGUAGGUGAACCUGCGGAAGGAUCAUUACAGUAUUCUUUUGCCAGCGCUUAACUGCGCGGCGAAAAACCUUACACACAGUGUCUUUUUGAUACAGAACUCUUGCUUUGGUUUGGCCUAGAGAUAGGUUGGGCCAGAGGUUUAACAAAACACAAUUUAAUUAUUUUUACAGUUAGUCAAAUUUUGAAUUAAUCUUCAAAACUUUCAACAACGGAUCUCUUGGUUCUCGCAUCGAUGAAGAACGCAGCGAAAUGCGAUAAGUAAUAUGAAUUGCAGAUUUUCGUGAAUCAUCGAAUCUUUGAACGCACAUUGCGCCCUCUGGUAUUCCAGAGGGCAUGCCUGUUUGAGCGUCAUUUCUCUCUCAAACCCCCGGGUUUGGUAUUGAGUGAUACUCUUAGUCGGACUAGGCGUUUGCUUGAAAAGUAUUGGCAUGGGUAGUACUAGAUAGUGCUGUCGACCUCUCAAUGUAUUAGGUUUAUCCAACUCGUUGAAUGGUGUGGCGGGAUAUUUCUGGUAUUGUUGGCCCGGCCUUACAACAACCAAACAAGUUUGACCUCAAAUCAGGUAGGAAUACCCGCUGAACCUAAGCAUAUCA